This is a long non-coding RNA of Strigops habroptila (Kakapo), 1625 nucleotides long. The record is from Ensembl. Lineage: Eukaryota; Metazoa; Chordata; Aves; Psittaciformes; Psittacidae.
UUUUUUUUUUUUUUUUUUUUUUUUCCCCCCCCUAAUCUAUAGAAUCCUUCAUGCAGCAUGAGGGCUGUUGGCAUUUUGAAAGGUUGUUAGUGGGUAGCAUACAUGUUCUCCUUUUUGUUUUUGAAACUUGUUUGUAAACAUGAAUAAAUCUGCCCUUUUGUUAAAAUAAAAUUGCAGCAAUGGUUUCUUACAGAUGAUUUUUUCUUCUCAGCUCCUUCACUGGAAACACUGAAAAGUACUCUUUUAUAUUGCUGGUUAACUUUACAGUGCAAUUUCAAGAUGGUAACAGCCCCACUAACAAUAGUACUUUGGGUAAAUGGAGUAAUGGUGGCUGCCUUCAGAAUGAAUGUAAGCUAAAAUACUCAAAAGUCUUCACUGAGCCAAAAGGAUACUCCUUGGGAAUGAAUAGGUCUGCCUGAAAUUCUGAGACUUUCUGUGAGUACUGCAUGAUAAAUGUAUCCCUGACCACUUAAGUGAGGGGAAACUGAGAACUGACAUACAGCACGGGUGAAAAUACAUUUUUCAGUUGAUUAACAUCUUGUGCACGAAAACUGACCUGCUAGCGAUUGACUGAAGAAGUUACGGUCUGCCUCAAGGAUGAUGGAACAGUUACUUGGUCUAGUACGUCCUUAUGUUUUCUAGGUCUGAUACAGCUUAGAAGAGCAACUGAAGAGAUGAAUCAUGAACUCUAUUUCUUCCUUUCUUCUUCCAGUUCUGUGUUCUUUAAAAUAGCGAGUGGUUUGGGUUUUUUUGCCAAAUAAUCCAGAAUUUAGGGGGGUUUUAAAGGGGCCCCCUUCAAAGGAGUGCAGGAAUUAAGUUGGUAAUGAGGGAGAAGAAUACUAGAGCAAAGGGCAGAAAUGAGCAGGUGAGGAAGCUCAAGCGUAUCUCUCCCUUGUGGUGGAUACAUGCAUGCUUGGGUUUGUCCUUUAAUGGAUGAUGCUCAACCUGUAGCACUAUCGCACUGUCAACCACUCCUGAAUUCAGUCUUUUCUAUUGUACUUAAGUAAAUACACUGAAUUCUAGGCAAGGGGGGUUUGCACUUGACACUUUGUAUAGUGAUUUCUCCCACAUAUUUCUAGCACCUUAAGUCAUAGUUCUUACCUAGAGUGCUUGGUAGGGGGAUCAGUUUUUAUGGAAGCUGUUUUCUCCCUACUACAAUAGUUAAAUAAGCAUUGGCUUAAAAUGACAAGAGUUUCUUUACCCAUGAAGUACACUACCAUGUGAGAAAGUAUCUCCAUUUAAUUUCAUUAACACAUCAUAAUUUAACUUCAUAUGAUGACAGACUUUAAUUUUUCCCUCUCUUCUAGCUGUGAUCAUGACUGCAUGUUAACUUUUUUGGAAUAAAGUCUACACUUAAGCCUUUUGAGGGGGAACGGGAGGGUGAAUGUAGGCUUUGUACAUCGGUGGUCCUUGUUUCUGCUAACAGGAAACUUCUUUACAGAAACAAGGAAAAGUUGUUCAAGAUUGGGGUAUGCUUUCUUUGUGAUCUCAAGAAAUCAUAACAUGUUGCCUAGAUUAUGAAGUGAUUAUCACUGAGCUCAUGAGGCCUUCAUUGCCUUUCUCGUUGUAAGGUUUACUUGUCUUUCUUCUUGUAACUGAAAUAAAUAAAAGUGCUGUUCAUCUCA